AUACUUAAUUAUUUCUAUAGCUUGUAAUGAGGACUACUUUGCUACUUUAUUUAAUAGUCAAACGGCAACCAUUGAUGGAAUCAGUUAUACCACUGGAAUACCACAGUUCUGUAUAACAGGGACAUAUGCCAGGAUAUGUAAUGAUGGUACUAAUUAUCCUGAAUUGGGACUAGCUUUAUGCAAUAGUGCAGGAUUUCUAAAUUCUAUUUGGUGAGCUCCUUUCUUCAAAUUCAAGUCUUGCUCAGACCCUA
Molecule: long non-coding RNA, 251 nt
Organism: Amphimedon queenslandica
Lineage: Eukaryota; Metazoa; Porifera; Demospongiae; Haplosclerida; Niphatidae
Exons: 2
Source: RefSeq, a predicted model, not a curated record